Molecule: ribosomal RNA, 250 nt
Filed under: uncultured bacterium
Lineage: Bacteria
Description: partial 16S ribosomal RNA
Rfam family: Bacterial small subunit ribosomal RNA
Source: RNAcentral
UACGAAGGGGGCUAGCGUUGUUCGGAAUUACUGGGCGUAAAGCGCACGUAGGCGGAUCGAUAAGUAAGGGGUGAAAUCCCAGAGCUCAACUCUGGAACUGCCUUUUAAACUGUCGAUCUGGAGCAGAGUAGAGGUGAGUGGAAUUCCGAGUGUAGAGGUGAAAUUCGUAGAUAUUCGGAGGAACACCAGUGGCGAAGGCGGCUCACUGGACUCUUGCUGACGCUGAGGUGCGAAAGCGUGGGGAGCAAAC